UCUGCUGCUGCCGCUCCCGGGCACAGGGGACUGGCAGUGCAGGGAUUGGGGCUGCUGCUGCUGUGCCCGCGCCGCGGGAGCGCGCCCUGCUGCACCUGGCCCCAGGCUCUCUGGGAUGUGCAGAAAACGCGUCCCGAACUCCGCCACUUCUCCCCGUCUCCAGCAGUGCGUGUGUGUCUCGCUCUCCCACACGCAGCAGAGCCACUCACGCUAGGGUCUCCUGCGCGGGGCUGAGCCGCCCUGUGUGCCCUGGCUGCUGAACAGGGGAACCCGACCCGCUGCCCCCGCCUCACCGCUCCUGCUUCUCAGGAUGCCCGAGUCAACAAGUUGCAUACCAUUGCAGCAGAGAUGUCUGAUUUUUCCAUCUGAAUAUCUGGAAUUGCUUUAUCACUUCAUUAGUCUCAUUAAUAAGCACUGAAGACUUCUGGGUAUUGAAGACAGAUGAAUUAAAUCCUCUUUGAAUGUUCUUGAUCUAAAGUAGAUGUAUUGGAUUCUCUGGAUGUGCAUAAGGACACCAAGGGACUCGAGCACUAUUGUCCACAUCAAUUGUCCCCUUUCCUGUUCACCCUUCAAAGCAUUUGCCUUGGUCCAUACCCUCAUGAACAAAGGAUGGGCAGGAAGAUGAUCUCUAUGCUUGCCUCCCCUUCCCUUGCACACCAAUGCGGAAAUCAUUGCAGUUUGCCCCACCGCAUGUAUUACUUGAAGAAAGUAACAGAAAACAAUUGUUAGACAAUUUCAAUUCUCUCCAAAGCUUACUAAUCCUCAGGCUU
This is a non-coding RNA of Chelonoidis abingdonii (Abingdon island giant tortoise), 770 nucleotides long. Lineage: Eukaryota; Metazoa; Chordata; Testudines; Testudinidae. The record is from RefSeq and is a predicted model, not a curated record.